UACGUAGGAGGCAAGCGUUGUCCGGAAUUACUGGGCGUAAAGCGCGUGUAGGUGGUGGGACAAGUCUGCUGUGAAAGCGCCUGGCUUAACCGGGCGAGGUCGGCGGAAACUGUCCGACUCGAGGACGGUAGAGGGGGGUGGAAUUCCCGGUGUAGUGGUGAAAUGCGUAGAGAUCGGGAGGAACACCAGUGGCGAAGGCGAGUCUCUGGACAUUUCCUGACGCUGAGGCACGAAAGCCAGGGGAGCAAACGGG
Molecule: ribosomal RNA, 253 nt
Filed under: uncultured bacterium
Lineage: Bacteria
Description: partial 16S ribosomal RNA
Rfam family: Bacterial small subunit ribosomal RNA
Source: RNAcentral